This 303-nucleotide unclassified non-coding RNA is filed under the name Bacillus sp. B-jedd. RNAcentral's name for it is "cspA". It matches the Rfam family "cspA thermoregulator", at positions 114 to 428 of the family's 428-position model. Lineage: Bacteria; Bacillati; Bacillota; Bacilli; Caryophanales; Bacillaceae. The record is from RNAcentral.
UUCAAUUUAAUGGCUAAUUUUACACAGGCUUUGACGCCAAUAGGAGGAUUUUUUUCACAUGAAAAACGGUAAAGUAAAAUGGUUUAAUGCAGAAAAAGGUUUUGGCUUCAUCGAAUCAGAGGACGGAAACGACGUAUUUGUCCAUUUCUCCGCUAUUCAGUCCGAGGGCUUCAAAUCACUUGAAGAAGGCCAGGAGGUUUCUUUUGAAAUCGUCGAAGGCGCGCGCGGCCCACAGGCAGCCAACGUCACAAAACUUUAAUAUCCGACUUGUUCCGCAGCCAGGCAAUCCGCCUGGCUGUUUUA